RNAcentral lists this ribosomal RNA (522 nucleotides) under uncultured bacterium. RNAcentral's name for it is "bacterial SSU rRNA". It matches the Rfam family "Bacterial small subunit ribosomal RNA", at positions 8 to 526 of the family's 1533-position model. The record is from RNAcentral.
AGAGUUUGAUCCUGGCUCAGAUUGAACGCUGGCGGCAUGCCUUACACAUGCAAGUCGAACGCGAAAGGGGGGCAACCUCCGAGUAGAGUGGCGAACGGGUGAGUAAUACAUCGGAACGUAUCCAGUAGCGGGGGAUAACCUCUCGAAAGAGAGGCUAAUACCGCAUACGACCUUCGGGUGAAAGCGUGGGACCGCAAGGCCACGCGCGAUUGGAUGAGCCGAUGUCGGAUUAGCUUGUUGGCGGGGUAAAGGCCCACCAAGGCGACGAUCCGUAGCUGGUCUGAGAGGAUGAUCAGCCACACUGGAACUGAGACACGGUCCAGACUCCUACGGGAGGCAGCAGUGGGGAAUAUUGGACAAUGGGCGCAAGCCUGAUCCAGCCAUGCCGCGUGUGUGAAGAAGGCCUUCGGGUUGUAAAGCACUUUUGUCCGGAAAGAAAAGCUCUCGGUUAAUAGUCGAGAGUCCUGACGGUACCGGAAGAAUAAGCACCGGCUAACUUCGUGCCAGCAGCCGCGGUAAUAC